UGCAGGCGGUGGCGAACGGCGUGUCGUUGUUGCCGUGGAUGAGGAUCACCGGCGUUCGUGUCACCGCGCCGGCGGC
Molecule: transfer RNA, 76 nt
Filed under: Variovorax sp. RA8
Lineage: Bacteria; Pseudomonadati; Pseudomonadota; Betaproteobacteria; Burkholderiales; Comamonadaceae
Description: tRNA-Gly
Source: RNAcentral